Molecule: ribosomal RNA, 853 nt
Filed under: uncultured marine bacterium
Lineage: Bacteria
Description: bacterial SSU rRNA
Rfam family: Bacterial small subunit ribosomal RNA
Source: RNAcentral
UUUUNGGCGCAGCGGGCUACAUGCAGUCGACGAACCUUCGGGUUAGUGGCGGACGGGUGAGUAACGCGUGAGAAUCUGCCCUCAGGAGGGGGAUAACGGUUGGAAACGACCGCUAAUACCCCAUAUGCCUACUGGUGAAAUGAAUUUCGCCUGAGGAUGAGCUCGCGUCUGAUUAGCUAGUUGGUGAGGUAAUGGCUCACCAAGGCUUCGAUCAGUAGCUGGUCUGAGAGGAUGAUCGAGACACUGGGACUGAGACGCGGCCCAAACUCCUACGGGAGGCAGCAGUGGGGAAUUUUCCGCAAUGGGCGAAAGCCUGACGGAGCAACGCCACGUGAGGGACGAAGGCCUCUGGGCUGUAAACCUCUUUUCUCAAGGAAGAAGAUAUGACGGUACUUGAGGAAUAAGCCACGGCUAAUUCCGUGCCAGCAGCCGCGGUAAUACGGGAGUGGCAAGCGUUAUCCGGAAUUAUUGGGCGUAAAGCGUCCGCAGGCGGCUUUUCAAGUCUGCUGUUAAAGCGUGGAGCUUAACUCCAUCAUGGCAGUGGAAACUGAAAGGCUUGAGUAUGGUAGGGGCAGAGGGAAUUCCCGGUGUAGCGGUGAAAUGCGUAGAUAUCGGGAAGAACACCAGUGGCGAAGGCGCUCUGCUGGGCCAUUACUGACGCUCAUGGACGAAAGCCAGGGGAGCGAAAGGGAUUAGAUACCCCUGUAGUCCUGGCCGUAAACGAUGAACACUAGGUGUCGGGGGAAUCGACCCCCUCGGUGUCGUAGCUAACGCGUUAAGUGUUCCGCCUGGGGAGUACGCACGCAAGUGUGAAACUCAAAGGAAUUGACGGGGGGCCGCACAAGCGGUGGAG